This is a non-coding RNA of Salmo salar (Atlantic salmon), 54 nucleotides long. The record is from Rfam. Lineage: Eukaryota; Metazoa; Chordata; Actinopteri; Salmoniformes; Salmonidae.
UGCAUUCACUACUGUAAGUCGCUUUGGAUAAUAGCGUCUGCUAAAUGACUAAAA